GAACGCCGGCGGCGUGCUUAACACAUGCAAGUCGAACGAGCAAGAGCUGUAGCAAUACAGGGUUCUGCUAGUGGCAGACGGGUGAGUAAUACAUGGGAAUCUACCUUGCAGUGCGAAAUAACAGUUGGAAGCAAUUGCUAAUGUCGCAUAUAGCCGAGAGGUGAAAGGUUUACUGCUGCAAGAUGGGCCCAUGCAGGAUUAGCUAGUUGGUGAGGUAAUGGCUCACCAAGGCAACGAUCUUUAGUUGGUCUGAGAGGAUGAUCAGCCACACUGGGACUGAGACACGGCC
Molecule: ribosomal RNA, 289 nt
Filed under: uncultured Candidatus Midichloria sp.
Lineage: Bacteria; Pseudomonadati; Pseudomonadota; Alphaproteobacteria; Rickettsiales; Candidatus Midichloriaceae
Description: partial 16S ribosomal RNA
Rfam family: Bacterial small subunit ribosomal RNA
Source: RNAcentral